Molecule: transfer RNA, 76 nt
Filed under: Leptogium hirsutum
Lineage: Eukaryota; Fungi; Ascomycota; Lecanoromycetes; Peltigerales; Collemataceae
Description: tRNA-Phe
Rfam family: tRNA
About the family: Transfer RNA (tRNA) molecules are approximately 80 nucleotides in length. Their secondary structure includes four short double-helical elements and three loops (D, anti-codon, and T loops).
Source: RNAcentral
AGGGAUAUGUUGUAGUGAGGUCUACAGUUUGAUUGCAAAUCAGAUAUAUGGGGUUCGAAUCCUCCAUAUCUCUUCA